UGGGGAAUAUUGCACAAUGGGCGAAAGCCUGAUGCAGCGACGCCGCGUGAGGGAUGACGGCCUUCGGGUUGUAAACCUCUUUCAGCAGGGACGAAGCGCAAGUGACGGUACCUGCAGAAGAAGCACCGGCUAACUACGUGCCAGCAGCCGCGGUAAUACGUAGGGUGCAAGCGUUGUCCGGAAUUACUGGGCGGAAAGAGUUCGUAGGCGGUGUGUCGCGUCGUUUGUGAAAACCAGCAGCUCAACUGCUGGCUUGCAGGCGAUACGGGCAGACUUGAGUACUGGAGGGGAGACUGGAAUUCCUGGUGUAGCGGUGAAAUGCGCAGAUAUCAGGAGGAACACCGGUGGCGAAGGCGGGUCUCUGGGCAGUAACUGACGCUGAGGAACGAAAGCGUGGGUAGCGAACAGG
RNAcentral lists this ribosomal RNA (409 nucleotides) under bacterium. RNAcentral's name for it is "partial 16S ribosomal RNA". It matches the Rfam family "Bacterial small subunit ribosomal RNA", at positions 355 to 776 of the family's 1533-position model. The record is from RNAcentral.